UGGUGGGGUGACCCGUCUGGUUAAUUUCGAUAACGAACGAAAUCCGAGCUGUUUAGUUGGCUGUUGCUACAUUUUAGUUACAUGUCUCCUAUAUGGACUGUCAGUUUGAGGCUGAAGGAAGUUUCGGGCUAAAUCA
RNAcentral lists this ribosomal RNA (136 nucleotides) under uncultured eukaryote. RNAcentral describes it as "partial 18S ribosomal RNA". It matches the Rfam family "Eukaryotic small subunit ribosomal RNA", at positions 1299 to 1458 of the family's 1831-position model. The record is from RNAcentral.